This 665-nucleotide ribosomal RNA is filed under the name uncultured Hypocreales. Its description in RNAcentral is "eukaryotic LSU rRNA". The stretch from base 276 to 429 matches the Rfam family "5.8S ribosomal RNA". Lineage: Eukaryota; Fungi; Ascomycota; Sordariomycetes; Hypocreales. The record is from RNAcentral.
GAAUCUUGGUCCAUUUAGAGGAAGUAAAAGUCGUAACAAGGUCUCCGUUGGUGAACCAGCGGAGGGAUCAUUACCGAGUUUACAACUCCCAAACCCAAUGUGAACGUUACCAAACUGUUGCCUCGGCGGGAUCUCUGCCCCGGGUGCGUCGCAGCCCCGGACCAAGGCGCCCGCCGGAGGACCAACCUAAAACUCUUUUUGUAUACCCCCUCGCGGGUUUUUUUAUAAUCUGAGCCUUCUCGGCGCCUCUCGUAGGCGUUUCGAAAAUGAAUCAAAACUUUCAACAACGGAUCUCUUGGUUCUGGCAUCGAUGAAGAACGCAGCGAAAUGCGAUAAGUAAUGUGAAUUGCAGAAUUCAGUGAAUCAUCGAAUCUUUGAACGCACAUUGCGCCCGCCAGUAUUCUGGCGGGCAUGCCUGUCCGAGCGUCAUUUCAACCCUCGAACCCCUCCGGGGGGUCGGCGUUGGGGAUCGGCCCUCCCUUAGCGGGGUGGCCGUCUCCGAAAUACAGUGGCGGUCUCGCCGCAGCCUCUCCUGCGCAGUAGUUUGCACACUCGCAUCGGGAGCGCGGCGCGUCCACAGCCGUUAAACACCCAACUUCUGAAAUGUUGACCUCGGAUCAGGUAGGAAUACCCGCUGAACUUAAGCAUAUCAAUAAGCGGAGGAA